AGCGAACGCUGGCGGCAGGCCUAACACAUGCAAGUCGAACGAACCUUUCUGGGUUAGUGGCGGACGGGUGAGUAACACGUGGGAACGUGCCUUUAGGUUCGGAAUAACUCAGGGAAACUUGUGCUAAUACCGAAUGUGCCCUUCGGGGGAAAGAUUAAUCGCCUUUAGAGCGGCCCGCGUCUGAUUAGCUAGUUGGUUGAGGUAAUGGCUCACCAAGGCGACGAUCAGUAGCUGGUCUGAGAGGAUGAUCAGCCACAUUGGGACUGAGACACGGCCCAAACUCCUACGGGAGGCAGCAGUGGGGAAUCUUGCGCAAUGGGCGAAAGCCUGACGCAGCCAUGCCGCGUGAAUGAUGAAGGUCUUAGGAUUGUAAAAUUCUUUCACCGGGGACGAUAAUGACGGUACCCGGAGAAGAAGCCCCGGCUAACUUCGUG
RNAcentral lists this ribosomal RNA (434 nucleotides) under uncultured bacterium. RNAcentral's name for it is "partial 16S ribosomal RNA". It matches the Rfam family "Bacterial small subunit ribosomal RNA", at positions 29 to 507 of the family's 1533-position model. The record is from RNAcentral.